Molecule: long non-coding RNA, 1747 nt
Filed under: Crocodylus porosus (Australian saltwater crocodile)
Lineage: Eukaryota; Metazoa; Chordata; Crocodylia; Crocodylidae
Description: lncRNA (ENSCPRG00005001506.1)
Source: RNAcentral
AGACAAGAGACUUGUGAAACAAGCCCGCCUCUGCCUGCGAGUAAUCCCUGCUGGGUCUAUUGUGGAGGUUUGAUGCGACUCAGCCACAUGACCAGUCAGGUGAUGAUAUUGGGAACAAAGACUAAAGAGGAUAAACUCUUAGAUCCAGGAGAUUAGUGGCUGAUCCUGCUUGGUGAGGCGCUUUAUGGUACACCCUUGGAAAAAUGGGUCCGUGGCCCAGGUCUCUGCUCUGGAGUUUAGGCGCAGCCUGCUUGAUAGGUAUGGUUGUUGGACAGACGACCACUGCCCAGAUCUCUGUGGCCUCAGCAUCGGCAUCAGCAAGUGAUGGGGGGUUGCCGGCUUCUCCCACAGCAAAUGCUGCCCAGGUCUCUACCUUACCAAAUCCAGUUGCAACACCUUCAGCCAUUUCCAAUCCUGUGGCGAAAGCUGGGGAGCCAUCAAUUACUCCAAGUAUAACAUCAGUUGAAGAUUUUUCUGCCACUGUAAAUGUGACAGUGUCCCCUGCCGCAAAUGCGACUACCGUUCAGGUUCCUACAGGAGUAAUGUCAACUGGGGGUCCAUCAACAUCUCCAUUCGUAAGCAGCACAGAGUCCACAAACUGUAGCGCAGUGAACACAACAGCAUGUAUGCCUUGCUCACCAGGAACGUUUCCCAACAAGGAGGCAUCGAGCUGUCUCUGCUGUUCAGAAGGCUCCUGUGCAGACCGUGCCGAUUGCACAUCCUGCCCAGCAGGUCACUACCAGCCUCUAGCUGGACAACAGAUCUGUUUGCCUUGCCCGCAGGGAUAUUACACUAAUUUUACACAAAGUACUGCGUGUCUCCCCUGUCAGCCUGGCUCUUAUUCCAAUGAGUCGGGGGCAUCGGCUUGCCGCAUGUGUGGAAAAGGGUAUUUUAGCUCCCAGCACAACUCAGCAUUUUGUAGUCCCUGUCCUCGUGGAUCAUUCUGCAACACAACCAACUGCAGCACCUGCACAAUUUGCCCUAGUGGAGAAGAGGCAAUCAGUGAAGCUUCUGAAGAAUGUUCACCUUGCCCACCAGGUAUGUUUAAAGCUUCUGGUGACGACCAAUGCAAAGUCUGCAAGACGGGAGAAUACCAAUUACAAGUGGGCCAGGAGAGCUGUGACAUAUGCCCAGAAAAUCACUACUGCCCUAGCCCAGAUGUGAACCCCAUUAUGUGUCCUCCUGAUGCCUUCUGUCCAGCUGGUAGCACUCGACCACAGUACUGCAUGGAAACGUUUCUUCAAAAGGCUGGAGAUUCUUGUGAACUGGCUCCUUUAACUAUUGUACUACUAGCCAUUUUAUCAGCAGGUGGAGUCCUGGCUGCUGCUUUAAUAAUUCUGAAACGAAAGCAAGAAUAUGGCUGGAAAACCUUGAAGUCUCCAUUACUGUCAAAAGAAUCAGUACCACAUACAACUUAUGGUGUAACUGGGCACACAGAACCAGUAUAUGCUGGCUGGUAGGAUUUCCUGGUGUUGGGGAAAGAAACCUCAAACAAUCGCAAGCACUUUCUCAGUUCUUUUUUUCCAUGUCUGAUGAAAUGAUAAAAAUGUGUUCAGGACAGUAUGUAUGGGCAGAGUGUAAUAUAUGAGUAAAUCCAUGGGAUUUUGUUUGCAAAGCUAAAGUGUUAAGUGUACUCCUGACAAAUACAUUAAAAAAACAAACCUUUGAUUUCUGCAGGUCUGUGAGAACUUGUACUAACUCACUACUCUAAAAUAAACUGGAUAAUAAGACUGCUCUUUUCCCCCUU